Molecule: small RNA, 28 nt
Filed under: Bombyx mori (domestic silkworm)
Lineage: Eukaryota; Metazoa; Arthropoda; Insecta; Lepidoptera; Bombycidae
Description: ovarian small RNA-20364
Source: RNAcentral
UACAUAAUACUGAAAGCACAGGGGUGGU